GUGAAUCAUCAAAUUUUUGAACGCAAAUUGCACUCUCUUCCGAGAGGAUGCCUGUUUGAGGGUCAGCCUAAGAAAAAUCAACAUCGUUGCUGUUUCGCGGCGGCGUUCGUCGGGAAUUGGGUUAUCUUAGAUCUUUGGAUUAGGCGACGUAACAUAAACUUUACAAUUCCAUGAUCGUUUCCAU
Molecule: unclassified non-coding RNA, 184 nt
Filed under: Glomeromycota sp.
Lineage: Eukaryota; Fungi; Glomeromycota
Description: partial contains 5.8S ribosomal RNA and internal transcribed spacer 2
Rfam family: 5.8S ribosomal RNA (bases 1-65)
Source: RNAcentral